AGUGAACGCUGGCGGCAGGCCUAAUACAUGCAAGUCGAACGGCAGCACAGUGGAGCUUGCUCCAUGGGUGGCGAGUGGCGGACGGGUGAGGAAUACAUGGGAAUCUGCCCAGUCGUGGGGGAUAACGUAUGGAAACGUACGCUAAUACCGCAUGCGCCCUUCGGGGGAAAGUCGGGGACCGCAAGGCCUGACGCGAUUGGAUGAGCCCAUGUUCGAUUAGCUAGUUGGCGGGGUAACGGCCCACCAAGGCGACGAUCGAUAGCUGGUCUGAGAGGAUGAUCAGCCACACUGGAACUGAGAUACGGUCCAGACUCCUACGGGAGGCAGCAGUGGGGAAUCUUGGGCAAUGGGCGAAAGCCUGACCCAGCGACGCCGCGUUGGGGAUGAAGCCCUUCGGGGCGUAAACCCAUGUUGUAGGGGACGAAGAAAGUGACGGUACCCUACGAGAAAGCCCCGGCCAACUACGUG
Molecule: ribosomal RNA, 468 nt
Filed under: uncultured bacterium
Lineage: Bacteria
Description: bacterial SSU rRNA
Rfam family: Bacterial small subunit ribosomal RNA
Source: RNAcentral